This 429-nucleotide ribosomal RNA is filed under the name Actinomycetes bacterium. Its description in RNAcentral is "Actinobacteria bacterium partial 16S ribosomal RNA". It matches the Rfam family "Bacterial small subunit ribosomal RNA", at positions 355 to 776 of the family's 1533-position model. The record is from RNAcentral. Lineage: Bacteria; Bacillati; Actinomycetota; Actinomycetes.
UAGGGAAUCUUCCGCAAUGGGCGAAAGCUUGACGGAGCAACGCCGCGUGAGUGAUGAAGGUCUUCGGAUCGUAAAACUCUGUUAUUAGGGAAGAACAAAUGUGUAAGUAACUAUGCACGUCUUGACGGUACCUAAUCAGAAAGCCACGGCUAACUACGUGCCAGCAGCCGCGGUAAUACGUAGGUGGCAAGCGUUAUCCGGAAUUAUUGGGCGUAAAGCGCGCGUAGGCGGUUUUUUAAGUCUGAUGUGAAAGCCCACGGCUCAACCGUGGAGGGUCAUUGGAAACUGGAAAACUUGAGUGCAGAAGAGGAAAGUGGAAUUCCAUGUGUAGCGGUGAAAUGCGCAGAGAUAUGGAGGAACACCAGUGGCGAAGGCGACUUUGUGGUCUGUAACUGACGCUGAUGUGCGAAAGCGUGGGGAUCAAACAGG